RNAcentral lists this long non-coding RNA (379 nucleotides) under Homo sapiens (human). Its description in RNAcentral is "HSALNT0174627". The record is from RNAcentral. Lineage: Eukaryota; Metazoa; Chordata; Mammalia; Primates; Hominidae.
CAACGACAAAAAGUCAGUACAAACAAUGAGGAUCAGAGAGGUGAAGUUGCCCAAGGACCCACCCCUUGUCAUUGGCCACACUGGGAUCUGAACCUUGGUCUGUGGGACUACAGAGCAUCACUCUGGAACUUUAGAACUAGAUAAACAUUGGGUUCGAUUCUUUAUCCUGGGGGACUUUGCGCUGAGGGGGUGUGGGACCUGGAGCUGUCAGGGCUGAGUGUCUGGGUUUAAGGUGCUUUACAUUGAACACUGCAUUUCCAUCCCUUCUUGACCUCCCCUUCGUAAUCCUUCCCACCACAGCAGCCAGCUAGAGGAGGGACUCAACAGCAUCCUGGCAGCUUGUGGCCUUUUUCUUUACAGCAUUUAGACUAGUGGGACC